Molecule: small nuclear RNA, 117 nt
Organism: Quercus robur (English oak)
Lineage: Eukaryota; Viridiplantae; Streptophyta; Magnoliopsida; Fagales; Fagaceae
Product: U5 spliceosomal RNA
Exons: 1
Source: RefSeq, a predicted model, not a curated record
AGUCGUGCGGUGAGCACAGAGCGAACUAUUCUUUCGCCUUUUACUAAAGAAUACCGUGUGCACGCAGCAUAUAACGGCAUACGCCAAAUUUUUAGAGGGGAUUUCCACGAGAAUUCC